RNAcentral lists this long non-coding RNA (4507 nucleotides) under Panax ginseng (ginseng). RNAcentral describes it as "long non-coding RNA (PGIN_LNC003714)". The record is from RNAcentral. Lineage: Eukaryota; Viridiplantae; Streptophyta; Magnoliopsida; Apiales; Araliaceae.
GUGAACAACAACCUAGCUAGCUAUUCAUAUUGAAUGUAAAUCAUGCAAGUUGCGGCCUAACAUGGACAAAUGAGUAAUGGCUGAUUGGCCUCCUCGAUCUCCUAUUUGCUUUAAAAUAUUGAAAAAAUAGGUGAAUUUUUCGUGUAUAAAUAGAAUAGAAUGCAAGGGAAGAGGGGAAAAUUACCCGAGCUAGCUACACUUAAUAUAUAAUUUCACAGUUGAGAGCAGAGUAUACAUUAAAGAUGAUGCAGAAGCAGACGUUGGCGAUAGCUCUGGCGUGGCUCCUGGUUGCGUCGUCAAUCAUGAUGUGCGAGUACGCAGCUGCAGACACUACUCCAUUGAAAACUGCUGACCAAGUUCUCCAUCCCCUAGCAGGUAAGAACCAACAUCCGAUCCUUUUGCUUUCGCAUCUGAUAUUCUGCAUGCAUAGUAUAUAUAUAUAUAUAUAUAUAUAUAUAUAUAUAUAUAUCUUGAAUGCAUGCAUGCAUGUGCAUUUACGUAAUAUAUAGUAAUUUAGAGUGUAUAUAUAUAUAUAUAGAGAGAGAGAGAGAACUAACUAUAUAUGCUUGCUAAUGGAUACAAUAUACACUACUUGAAGGUUGUCGCUGCUGCAACUUCAUUCGUGUGAAAGGGUUUAUCCAAUGCGGAACAGUUUGUUGUGUGGAUGGAUGUUGCGGUCGCAAGUGAAGCACCUGCAAUGCAGCUACACAGACAAUAAUAUGAAUCAUGGUGGUGGUGUUGCACAAUAAGAUGAAUAAUGGUGGUCAAAAGUUGCAACAUCGCUGAAGCAAUCAAAGCCCCCCUUAUAGAUUUCCCUGUUUGUUUGUUUUGCAUUCCUAUCGAGUUAUAUAAUGUUUGUCGAAAAGAUCCUGUUUAAUGAAAAAUUAAUGUCUGGAAAUCUGGGUGUUUCAGCAGGAUUUCUUUACGUUGAUGUAUCAUGUAUGUAUGUCUACAUGAGGAUAUAUCUAUCUAUAUAAAAGCGAUCGACUCGUUAAUCUAAAAGUAUCAUUCAUUUCAAGAGUUUGAUUCACAAUCUGUCAUGCCUACUAAUUUCAAGGAACAACUAGAUGAACUGCUGACACAAGAAAAACUGUUUAUGCUCCAUACCAACCCAAACAUACAAAACUGCACCUUUUUAUAGUCAUUUCAUGAUACUUACUUACCAUAUGAAUACAGAGUAUAAAACCCCCUUUUUUUGGAAUACAAAGUUUAAAAAUAGAUCAAUCAUUCUCAAUGGGAUCGAUUCUUAUUUGCAUUAAUUAAUACAUAAAUAUUUUUUGCAGUAAGAUUUUCUUCAGGGACAGAGCCAGAAUUUGUUCUUUGGAGGGACCAAAAAUUUUUUUAACAUCAUAAAAUAUAUUCAUUACUAAAAAGUAAAAUUUCACUAUUACAAAACAUAUUUUUACUAAAACAAAAAUAAUAUAUUAAUAGAAUUUGCUUUGACAAAGAUAAUGAAACAUAGAAAAAAAAAGUAUUUUAAAACAUAUCAAAACUUCGUCAAAACUUGGGGAGCUAUAGUCUUGCACAAUUUUCAAAACAAACUAAAUGUACAAGUGAAUUUUAUAAAUUUUCAAACUUUGGGGUGAAUCUUACUGUUAACACCAAGAUCUUCUGUCACGUCCCAAUCACGUAAGACAUUCUGAUCAUGCACAAUAAACACAGUCAACACCAAAAGCUUGACGGCUUGACCGUCGGGGGAUAGCUCCGGCGUGAGAGUCAGUACAGACGAUCACAAGGUUAACAAUGACGGAAUAAAUAUCUAGUGACUUAAGAGCAAUAAUUAAUUAGUUACCUUUCACCGUGUGUCAUCCUUGCUUUAUAUCCCCAAAGUCCGGUUUGUCAUGUAUGCAACUGACUUUUCGGGCCCACCGUUUUUAGCCAACUAAGCCCUGUCCAAUCCUCAUUAAAUGCAAUGCAGAGAUGAUAGUCAAAGUUCUAUCCCCAAUCUACACCGGUCAAAGCCCAAGUGGAACCAUACUCAUCUAGUAAUUCGGCCCACUGUCACAGCCCAAUAUUUCAUAAGCCCCAAAAUAAAGAUAAUAUCCACCCAAUGGGUUAGCCCAAUGAACCGGCCUAAUACUUUCAAGACCCACCUCAACAUGUUUAAAGUAUUAUGGCCCAACACUUACAAAAAUUUCAAACCUUAGGGGGGCCGUGGCCCCCUCCAACCUCCAUGUAGCUCCGUCCCUGAUUUUCUUUUUGGUUGCCUGUGACAUCACACCAUGGGAUCGACAUUCUUCUCAUCAUUAUACUUUUUGUUGACCGUGUAUAAUUGCACGUAUUUACUGAUUGCGAAAUUGGACAACAAGAUUUAUAAAAGGCAAGCAAAUUCAAUCCAAUAGUAACGAUCAAGAUUAAAAAAAGUUGAAUUGUUCUCAAACUCACAAGAGAUCUACUGUACGAUAUAGAACAACAUGUUCUGUUGCUAAGUCUUUCAUUACUAACUUCAAGCUACUUAGCAACACCCCAAAUCACACUAUCUCUUAGUGAUUGUUUAGGUCUUAGUGAUCCAUUGUAUCCAAGUCUUAGUGACUUGAAGAGUUCUUAGUGAUCUACUGUAUGUAAGUGUUUGUGACUUGAAGAAAUUUUAGUGAUUUAUUGAGUGCAACUAUUAUAUGUGAACAUCUGUGUGAUCAGUCAUCCUUAGUGAAAAAGUAGAAGAGUGAACUAUAAAACCUUUGUAUUCUGAAUCAUUUAAAAUUUGUGUGUCCCCUUUAUAUUCUGCACUUACUUUUCUGUCAACUUCUUUAAUUUGUUUGAGAUUUAAUUCCAAUUGAUUGCUAAAUUCAAAAUUACAAAUUCUUUCAAAUUUUUGAAGGGAUUUUUCAAAUUAUUAUUCCGCAAUGCAUAAUUAUAAAUUAAUCUGCUUAAUUUAUAAAUCGGUAAUAAUUUCUUUUAAAAAAAUUUAAAAUCUAUUUAACCCACCUCUAAAUCUCUUGGUGCAUUUGGAAUAUAACAAAAACUUUGACACUUCCUGUGGGUUCUAUCCAGUGGAAAGAUAAUCACAAAAAUUUCUCUAGUCAAAGGGCAGAUAUGUAAAACGAAAGGGCCUACCUUACCCACUUUUAAGUCGCAAGUAAAUUGCCUUAAAUAUUUAAUAACUUGCAAAAGUGACUCCAAUAGAAAGAUUUCUAUCUAUCAAUCUGGCAAACGUGGAAUUCACUACUGAGGAGUAAUGGGAAAUGGACUCGAGUCAUGGGAAACGUGGAAUUCCAAAUGGAUGAUUUCAUUUAUUUUAAAUUAUUUAUCGUUUUAUAUAAUUUACAAGAAUUAAUUACAAUUUUUUUUAAAAUUACUUCUCAUAAAAAAUUGUUAUAGAUGUGAAAUAAAUAUGAUAAUAAAUGAGAAUUUAAACGUAUUAUAAAUAUUUGAUAUUAUAUUUAAUCAUUUAUUUAAUUCUUGUACACAACUUUAAAACAUCAGAAAGGGGACCAUGCUCGUGAGUUUUUUCACUUCAAUUACCAAGAGAAACCAAUUAGGAAAUGACCGACAAGCAGGCCUAUGGAAUAUCUUUAAAAUAUGAGUAAUGCUACAAACACAAACUAUUUUACAAAUAUUUUACAAACUGCUGAUGUGGCAUACUCCACAUCACCAUAUUGAUUAACGACUUGUUUAAAUAUAGUCUUCGGCCCCACACAAUAUGCUGAGAUGGAAUACUUUGUGUCUUUAGCAUUAUUCUUAAAAUAUUAUUCGACUAUAAAUAAAAUAAAAUAAAAUAAAAACACAACAACUUGAACGUACGUCAAGACAAGACAAUAGUCAAGGACUUAUUGAUUCUUGUUUUGUGGAAGAAUAUAAGUACACUUGGGUGAACAACACCCAAGCUAUUGAUAUUGAAUGUGAAUGUAAAUCAAGUUGCGGCCUAACAUGGACAAAUGAGUAAUGGCUGAUUGACCAGCUGGAAAUUAAGAAUCGCUCUCCUCAAUCUCCUAUUUGCUUUAUAAAUAGAAUGCAAGAGAAGAGGGGAAAAUUAUAUACCCGAGCUAGCUAGCUACACUUGAUAAUUUCACAGUUGAGAGUAGAGUAUACAUUAAAGAUGAUGCAGAAGCAGACGUUGGCGAUAGCUCUGGUGUGGCUCCUGGUUGCGUCGUCAAUCAUGAUGUGCGUGUUCGCAGCUGCAGACACUACUCCAUUGAAAACUGCUGACCAAGUUCUCCAUCCCCUAGCAGGUAAGAACCAACAUCCGAUCCUUUUGCUUUCGCAUCUGUUCUACAAAUUAAUAUUAAUCUGCAUGCAUACUAACUAUAUAUGCUUGCUAAUGGAUACAUAUAUAUACACUACUUGAAGGUUGUCGCUGCUGCAACUACAUUAAAGUGAGAGAGUUUUUCAAUUGCAACAAAGUUUGUUGUGUGGAUGGAUGUUGCGGUCGCAAGUGAAGCACCUGCAAUGAAGCUACACAGACAAUUAUAUAUAAUAUGAAUCAUGGUUGUGUAGUUGCACAAUAAGAUGAAUAAUGGUGGUCAAAAGUUGCAACAUCUCUGAAGCAAUUAAUCAACCNNNNNNNNNN